This 440-nucleotide ribosomal RNA is filed under the name uncultured bacterium. RNAcentral describes it as "partial 16S ribosomal RNA". It matches the Rfam family "Bacterial small subunit ribosomal RNA", at positions 338 to 795 of the family's 1533-position model. The record is from RNAcentral.
CCUACGAGUGGCAGCAGUGGGGAAUAUUGCACAAUGGGGGAAACCCUGAUGCAGCAACGCCGCGUGAGUGAAGAAGUAUUUCGGUAUGUACAGCUCUAUCAGCAGGGAAGAACAUGACAGUACCUGACUAAGAAGCCCCGGCUAACUACGUGCCAGCAGCCGCGGUAAUACGUAGGGGGCAAGCGUUAUCCGGAUUUACUGGGUGGAAAGGGAGCGUAGACGGCUGCGCAAGUCAGAAGUGAAAGCCCGGGGCUCAACCGCGGGACUGCUUGUGAAACUGUGUAGCUAGAGUGCAGGAGAGGUAAGUGGAAUUCCUAGUGUAGCGGUGAAAUGCGUAGAUAUUAGGAGGAACACCAGUGGCGAAGGCGGCUUACUGGACUGUAACUGACGUUGAGGCUCGAAAGCGUGGGGAGCAAACAGGAUUAGAUACCCCUGUAGUC